Long non-coding RNA from Gopherus flavomarginatus (Mexican gopher tortoise), 5226 nucleotides. RefSeq lists it as uncharacterized. The transcript has 5 exons. The record is from RefSeq and is a predicted model, not a curated record. NCBI's taxonomy places the organism in Eukaryota, Metazoa, Chordata, Testudines, Testudinidae.
CCUUCCAGACCGUGGCACCCACUUGUAGCUCUGGGACUUCCAGUCCUGUCCUCAUCACACUUCUUUUGAAAAGUCUUUCCAUCCCAUCUUGGGUCCCCCACUCCCUUUCUUGCUGUCCUCUUUAGGGUUGAAUUGGUUGGAUGUAUUCCUGGAGAUUUCAUCACAUGACAUAAUCUUUAAUUAAAGAUUAAUUUUUAAUUCCUGGAAACUCCGGGCCAAUCUGGGAGGGUUGGCAAUGCUAGUCUUCUUCCUCCUGUGCUUUCUCUCCUGGGCAUUCUCCAGUUCUUAUCACAUAGGCAGCCUGCCUCAAAAAUGCCAUCUGCAGUCUAUCACUGACAGUCCCACCAUCUUCUCCCUAAUAUUUUACCAUGUGCACUCUGUCUCCCCUCUGCUUCUCUGCCAUUCUCCUUAGUGUGUUAUUUUCUUCCACCGUCCAUCUCUAUAAGACUCAACAAUAAGGCAACAGUAAUAUUUUGUUUAAAUUUAUUUCUAGUAAUAAAGUACUUUCCAAACAGAAGAGAUGGCACAAGUCUUGCCCCAAGGAAUUCAUAAUCUAAAGACAGUUGAAAAAGGCUGAGCUGCUCUUGUCCAAUCAUGCCACUCUGCUGAAACAAUGGGCUGGACAAGAUGCCUCAGAAGAGCUACAUGCUGCAGAUUUUGUUUCCAUGCUCAAACACAGCCUGCACAAACUGCUUGAAGACUCUGUCCAUUGAAUUCAGAUGGCCAAAAGUAUUUAGAGGUGAAUGGCUAGAACAUUGAUCCACUGGGUAACCUACAGAAGAACCCUUGAUAAAAGAAAAAUAAAGAACCCUCCUACUGCCUGUCUCCACUCACCUUAGCGAUGCUACUGAGGUAAUAGCAGGCGAAGGCGGCGCUGAAGCCCAGCACCAGGGACAAGCCCACACUGGAACCGAAGAGCCCCACCGGCACCUGGAUCUCCAGCUGUGACACAGUGGGUAUGAUCACACUGCAAUUAAAAACCUGUGGCUGAUCUGUGCCAGCUGACUUGAACUUGUGGGGCUCAGGCUAAGGGACUGUUUAAUUGCAGAACAGAUGUUUGGACUUGGACUCUAGGACCCGGCAAAGUGGGGUAGGUGUGCCAGUAGCUAUUCUUCCUACAAUGUUUCUUUGUAUGUAAAAAGCAACAAAGAGUCCCGUGGCACCUUAUAGACUAACAGAUGUAUUAGAGCAUAAGCUUUCGUGGGUGAAUACCCACUUCAUCAGACGCAUGUAAUGGACAUUUCCAGAGGCAGGUAUAAAUAUGCAGGCCAGAAUCAGUCUGGAGAUAACGAGGUUAGUUCAGUCAGGGAGGAUGAGGCCCUCUUCUAGCAGUUGAGUUGUGAACACCAAGAGAGGGGAAACUGCUUUUGUAGUUGGCUAGCCAUACCUCAACUGCUAGAAGAGAGCCUCAUCCUCCCUUGUUGCUUUUUACAGAUCCAGACUAACACGACUACUCCUCUGAUCUCUGUAUGUAGCCAAAUUAAGUCUCCUAUAAAAAGCAAUGAGUCCUGUGGCACCUUAAAGACUAACAGAUGUAUUGGAGCAUAAGCUUUCAUGGGUGAAUGCGUCUGAUGAAGAGGGUAUUCACCCACGAAAGCUUAUGCUCCAAUACAUCUGUUAGUCUUUAAGGUGCCACAGGACUCAUUGCUUUUUACAGAUCCAUACUAAUACGACUACCUCUCUGAUACUUAAGUCUUCUAGUAAUUCUCUGAUAUCUUCUCAGAGAUAAGUAAAACAUGAUUUUGUUCCUAUGUACCCAAUUCCAAGAGACACCGGAGUUGUAAAUGAGGGCGAAAGGGGAAUCUGGUGUGAAAUUUGUUUAUAGCUUUUUCAAAGGAGUAGAGUCCAAAAUUCCAAAGAUACUUGCUACAUUUACAAUGCUCUUUGCCCUCCAUUCCUUAGAUAUCUUAUUGGAUCAAACUACUUUUAAUGUAUUGAGAGGGAAGCCACAGAUUUCUAUUUGAUUUUGUAUGCUUGUCUCUAAACCAGUUUAUUCAAACAGAUUACUCAACCUAUUGUUUAUCUAGUCUUCUUUGUAACUAGUUGCUUUGUAAAAGUAAUUAAAAGAUACCUCACUCGGGUGCUCUGCUAUUUUUGCUGCAAAGUGGUUAUGCCAUGAUGGGGGGCUUUAGGGAGAAUUAUUGGGUUUUUGGAUUAAAGAAAGUCUCCAGUUACAAAAAUAAUGAUCUUGUGGGUGGAGGGAGCCUUGCUAAUUCCUUUAGUACUAGUUUAUUUUUUCAGAGGAAAAUCAGGUGGCUAUUGGAGCUGAGACACCGUCUUGAAGAAAGAGGCUGGUGGGGAGCAGCAGUCUGAGAAGGGAGAGCUGGAACAGUGACAGGAGAAUCAGGGUGUCUGGAAAAGGAGGAGUUGAAGUGACAGCCUGAGUAGAGGGGGAAUUUGAGAGGCAGCUUUGGCAUGAUCUGUAGUCAUAGCUGCCAAUGGACAGGCCAACUGGCUGAAGAGGCUUAUGGGAAGAAUUGUUGCAAAUGAAGAAGUGAGAAGAGUCUAGUGAGGAAGAGGGACUGAGGAAGAACAGCAAGAGACUGCCCAAAAAAAGAACCUGAGAGCAAAUGGUUUGCAGCAUGACAGGAAUUUUGCAAGUUCUUUGCUCUCACUGCAAUUCUGAAUGGGCCACCAAAUUGCUGUGUAAGUAUGAAAUGCUUAAAGGGAAAAUUAGGCUUAUGCACUCUAUUUCUUUGUGAAGAAGUUCUGAAAGUUUUUAACUUUAAAUUAAAAGAGGGUGCUUUUCUGCUUGUCCUUCAAGUCUUGUUUACCCUGGAAGACACUCAGGAUAUGUCCACAUGGGGAUAAAAAUCCCUAUGACACAGCUGGCCUGGGUCAGCUGACUUGGGCUUGUGAUUCUCAGGCUCUGGGGCUGAAAAAUUGCUGUGUAGAUAUUUGGGCUUGGGCUGGAGCCUGAGCUCUGGGACCUUGCAAAGGUAGAGGACAAAUUACAUUCAGCGUCAUGUGAGCUAAUUUUCAUUAAACCUAGCUUAGGCCACUGUUUAAUCAUUUUAGGUGACAUGAUGCUGAACAUAAUUGUUCACAACCAUGUUAAAACAUGGUACAAUUCUGUGGCAUAUUCCAGGCUGCUAUCAGCCAUCUUUGCCUGAAGUGCCCCACUCUAUUAGUAAAUGUUGAUCUUUCCGAGAAGGCUUGUGUUUGCUACUUCCUGAGACAAAUGCUAAGCUGCAGAAAUGCUAAAAUAUUCCUCAGUACUGUGGAACUUGCUGCAAAAUCCAUUGUUCGCCACAGGAAUGUGAUCAAAAUGUCAUUUCUAGCCCUUAUAGUUCUGAAGAUUCCUCCAAAUGGUGACCUGAGUACAAACCAAUACAGUGGUGCCUUCCUGAGUUUACAGACAGCAUGAAACAAUAAUUCAGAGACGUGUGAACUCCCCCAUGAAUUUGAUAAUUCUGAAACCCAAAGAUCACAAUUUGUGGCCUACUGACAAUGUGGGACAGCAUAAAAUAAACUAAAUUAGUAUAAAAAUAAACUACUGUAUUGGGUAUAUUUCUCAUAUUCAUCUCUAAUCCAGUUAAAACUGCCAUUUAAAAAACUUAUCUGAAACUGCCAUAGAACUGUGACAAUUUUUACCAGACUGCCACAGAAUCUAGGGACUUUCCGAUAGAAUGUGGGUUAAGUUUGCUGUGGAGUACAUAGACCCUUGUCUAUAGCUACAGUUGAGGUAAUACUUCCAUUUGAACUCCCCUAUUUUCAUUCCCUUAUAAAUAUCUCAAUUUUUUGUCUGAAAAGUUGCAUGCUUAAAUUAAGCACAGAAACAAAACAUUUUAUAGUGUUUUAUACUACUUUUAGUUAUUUAAAAACCAUCUCAAAGCAAACAGUGAAAUGCUGGCUUCCUUGAAGUCAAUGGUAGCUGGCCAUUGACAUCGGUGGAGUCAGGAUUUCACACAAGGAGAUUUUUUUCCACCUAAAAAAUGGUUUAGAUUUCCUUUUGCAUGAUAGCUAUGAAAACUACUUAUAAAACUUUUUGUGUAAUCUUGAAUGAGGUGUGUGUAUAUAUAUGUAUGUUAAGAGUAUGCACUGUACAUAACUCAUCAAAAAUUCAGCAACAUGCACUAAGGCAGGGGUCGGAAACCUACGGUACAUGUGCCAAAGGUGGCAUGUGAGCCAAUUUUUGAUGGCACACGGGGCGGGCUAAGCCUCUGAGCCUGCCGCCGCUCUGGGGUUCCCGCUGCUGGCCCCCUGCCAGCGGGGUCCCACCGCCGGUCCCACUCAGCACCUGCUGCUGACCUGGGGGAAGGAACCUCAGGCUGGCAGCAGGCUCAGACCCUGGCUGGCAGGAGCUGGCGGCCGAAACCCCCAGAGCUGGGUCGGGCUGAGCGGCUCAGUCGCUGCUCUGGGGUUCUGGCUGCUGGCUCCUUGCCAGCCGGCAUCCCACACUCCCAAGUCCCAGUCAGGACCUGUUGCUGGCCUGAGUGAAGGAACCCCAGGCUGGCAGCAGGCUGAGACCCCGUCUGGCAGGAGCCAGCAGCCGAAACCCCAGAGCGGCGGCAGCGGGCUGAGCCACUCAGUCGCUGCUCUGGGGUUCUGGCUGCUGGCCCCUUGCCAACCGGGGUCCCCACCGCAGCCCCACUCACCUUGCUUCUGGCUGGAGUUCCAACGCAGGCCCCCUGCCAGACAGGGUCUAGGCCUCCGGCCCUGCUCAUCUCUACCAGUCGCCAGCUCCACUCACCUCAGCUGCUGAUCUGGGGUUCCAGCGGGUUAACAAGUGAUCACUCAGAAGCCUGUGUGCAGCUUAAAGUAUCCAAAUAUGUGCCAGACAUUGGAAAACUCAGCAAGGAAAAGCAAGGGCAAGGAUCACACUAAACUGAUAAGAGCUGCAUUUUAAUUUAAUUUUAAAUAAAGCUUCUGAAACAUUUUGAAAACCUUGUUUAUUUACAUAUAACAGUAGUUUGGUUAUAUAUUAUAGACUUAUAGAGAGACCUUCUAAAAAACGUUAAAAUGUAUUACUGGCAUGCGAAGCCUUAAAUUAGGGUGUAUACAUGAAGACUCGGCACACCACUGCUGAAAGGUUGCCGAUCCCUGCACUAAGGUAUGUGUCUUAGGGCAUUUGUAGGAGCAUUUUUCAUAAAUGCAUAUCCAAAUAACCACACCUGGUAUGUAUGAAAUCUAAUACUCUUAUCUAUUAAAACUUGCAUUAAUGUAAUGUCAAGAUUGAGACUUCAAUUGCUUAUGUUAAAACAUUAAAAAAUUAAGAUUAUUGUG